AUGGUGAAGAAAAUGGUGAUUUUUGUCCACUAUCUGCCUGUAGCAGUACUGUCACAACAGAGCGUUGCUGGAAGCUUGAUGAAGGCUCCAGGUGUCCCAAGAAGAGUAAUGCCCAGGCCAGGCCCUCCUCCAGCAACCACUUCUGCACAGAUUGGAAGUGAAAGUGCCACCUUGUCACUUCACCACAGAGCCAGGCAGGGCCACCAGAGUGCAGGCAGGGCAGGAGGGCAGAGCAGAGCAGGAAGAAAAGCUCACCCUGAGCAGCGUAGCAGCAGCAGCAAAAGUGGCACCAUGCAGAAGGGAGCAAAGCACAAACAGGUUCUUACGUCAUCUUGUGGGUGGUAUAACAUAACACAGCAUCACAGAAGUGACAGCUAACCACUACCUAAACUUUCUAUAUGGAAAAAAGGAAGAGAGCAGAUCACAGAUUUAUUUGUGGAAAUGCCAAAAAACACUCAUUCACGAGAAGAGUUUUUCAUAAUGAACAGAUGGAUGCCUGACUCUAACGAAUAUGUAUUGUCAUUUACUGUGAUGUUGUCUAUCACUGAAGAUGACUUUCAGACUUGUUCUGCUGCUGGUGCUUCUAUCUGAUUUCAGUAAACCUCAACUCUUUAAGCUGUUUUUUAUCAAAUACAGCUUGUGGUUUGUCUCAAGACUAGACUCAUUGCUGCCCUAGAAAGGUUUGUGCAGGAGUAAAAGAGAAGCAAAGUCUGAACUUUUCACCAGGGGAGUCUCCUCCUGGUGUAGCUUGAAUAAGUAGGUCCAAAAAAUUAAUCUCUUGCCUGCUCAGCAAACUACAAGGUGAUUUUGGUGAUUCAGUAGCUACCUAAUAGAUAUGUCCAUCUGUGUUCUAGUAUUAUCUGUUAUUCUUAAUAAAGGUUAGAACUGACUUUAUAUAGGGGACUUU
RNAcentral lists this long non-coding RNA (907 nucleotides) under Phasianus colchicus (ring-necked pheasant). RNAcentral describes it as "lncRNA (ENSPCLG00000005517.1)". The record is from RNAcentral. Lineage: Eukaryota; Metazoa; Chordata; Aves; Galliformes; Phasianidae.